Molecule: transfer RNA, 86 nt
Filed under: Candidatus Uhrbacteria bacterium
Lineage: Bacteria; Candidatus Uhriibacteriota
Description: tRNA-Leu
Rfam family: tRNA
About the family: Transfer RNA (tRNA) molecules are approximately 80 nucleotides in length. Their secondary structure includes four short double-helical elements and three loops (D, anti-codon, and T loops).
Source: RNAcentral
GGGCGAGUGGCGGAAUGGUAUACGCAGGGGACUUAAAAUCCCCAGGGGGAAACCCCAUGAGGGUUCGACUCCCUCCUCGCCCACCA